UGCAGGUGAGGUUGAAUUCCAUCUCGGUUGCGGCCGCCGCGCGCACUCGGAUACCUCUUUCCACUCUCCUCCUUUCUCCGCACGCCCGCGCCCACCGAGUCCCCAUCUCCCUCCCAGCUCCGAGCGCGCUCCCGCUGCCGCUCCCGCUGCCGCUCGCUCUCUACAGCCGUGGCCGCGAGCGGAGUGCGGCUCGACCCGACGGCGCGCUGUGUAGGUCUGCUGCCUCUCACAUGGAAAGCGCAGCUCCCUAGUUUCCCUUAGCUCGUCUCUCGCACGGCUCUCUGUGUCUCUGGCCGACCGCGACACACGUAGAGCAGGUACACCUCACAUCUGUCCCAUUUCGUCCUUUUGAUUCAGAGUUGUCUCUCUUUUUUCUUCUUUUUCUUUUUCCUGCUCUUCACAUGAGAUGUGCCAACACUUUUUUUUUUCUCGCAGAAGGGGGACACCUCGAUUCUGACGGAUUCUGUUGUGGCUGUGUGCCUUUUUCUCUCUGUUUCAGUGCAAAACCCCGGGGGCCUGUAUUUGGAAUAAGAAAAGCAUUGCUGCUUUGCGACUGGACGGACGAAAGAAAGGACUCCUCUGACAUUUCCUGUGGAUGUUUUAAUUCGGACGCCUCGUUACCGAGGCUUUGCAGUCAACUGCCUGGGCAUAUAGUAAGUAGCCUUGAGGCAUUUUUUUCGGUUGUUGAAGCAUUUGGGGAGACAGCUGUGAAACCACACACACACACACACACACACACGCGCACACACACACACACACACACACACACACACACACACACACACACACACACACACACACACACACACACACACACACACACACACACACACACACACACACACACACACACACACACUGUUAUCAAAGUGUUCGUCCGCAGUGCUUUGUUUGUUUUGUUUGUCAAGUUGUCCGUCCACGUCGCGCCACGUGCCACGUGUCCCUGCCCAGGGCGCAUAUCUGCAUAUCACGAAGCCAUACGUUAUCCAUGGACUGGCUGACACGCAGCGGUGUGCCGGUCGCCUCUCAAAACGGGGGGCGCGGCAUUUGGUUAGCUCUCUAUCGGUGCCAUUCAUCAAUUAAGCUGUGUCGCUGGGUCGCUUUGGUUUUACGCGUGCCCUACUACAUGAUUAAACGAUUUAUGAUGCCUUGACCGCGGUUCAUGUGUGCAAUGGGCAAGUUGCGGAAUUUUCAGGGCGAAGAAAAGUUUGCUUGUGUAGCCCGCGCCUGUUCCUGAGGCUGAGGUUAUGUAUCCCCAUAUCUAUUUGCGCGCGUGCACGUCAAUGUGCGCGUGCGUCGGUGUUCGGUAUGGCUUCGGUUAGUUAACGAGCGAUGGUGCUUUUGGCUAUGGAUGUCACCGUUUGUUGUUUGAUUGACGGCACAUGAGCUGUCCAUGCCUACGUGGUCGUCGCGCCACUUAAGUGAUCCACAUUCACUCAACCCUCUGUGUGAUGACAGGGUACAUACUUAAAAAAUAAGAACGUGCAAGUGACGGUUUUGCACUCGACCUGCCCAUGACAUGUCAUUUUGUGAGCUUGAGCUGAUAAUAACUUUCUACGGCUGGGAUCGUGUGUGUGUGUCUGUGUGUGUGUGUGUGUGUGUGUGUGUGUGUGUGUGUGUGUGUGUGUGUGUGUGUGUGUGUGUCUGUGUGUGUGUGUGUGUGUGUGUGUGUGUGUGUGUGUGUGUGUGUGUGUGUGUGUGUGUGUGUGUGCGUUUGGGGGUCAGUGAGGUAUGUUUCCUCUUGGCGGCAGGUGAGGGGAGGGAGCUAAGCGAGCGUGACCACGGUCGGGAGGCUAACAGCAUUAGCGUCUUGUCGUUACCCCCCAGAGGUCCAACGACGAGCACGGCAUCGCUGCCUCUUUGUGAUUCAGGACGACCUCUCCACCGCCGUGCACUAAAGCCCUAAUAAUAUAGGAACAAAUGAUGCCCCCGUGCAGACUUCCCACUAGCUGCUCAAUGAUGCAUUUUUAACUGUGUUUUAGAGAAGGUAAUUGGAGUGUGUGUACCGCACUGAAAGGUCAUCACCACAACGUAUAGGUGGACAGAGAGAGAGAGAGAAGGGCUUGUGGUAUGCGUUGGUGGAUGUGUUGGGCGGUGUUUGGUUUAGCUUUACAACAGUUACCCCAGGCGCUGGGUAAUGCUGAGCUCAUCAUGAUGAUAUUGUUUUUUCUCCACGGUGCACAUCUGUCUGUCUGCAACAUCGAUGCCUGUCUGUUUCUUUUGAUCUCUCUCUCUCUCUCUCUCUCUCUCUCUCUCUCUCUCUCUCUCUCUCUCUCUCUCUCUCUCUCUCUCUCUCUCUGGUUUAUCUCUUUCUCCCCGUCUUUCUGUCUCUCUCAAUCCAUCUAUCUUGAUCCGGUUUAUCUCUUUCUCUCUGUCUUUCUCUCUCCUUCUUUCUGUCUCUCUCACCAUCUUUCUGAAUCUCUCUCUUUAUGACUAUCUGUGAGUUUUGUCCCUGUCCUUUCCAGCUAUCCAUCUCACCCUAAUGUGUUUCUUUCUUGAAAUUGAAAUGUCAACUGUAUCAUUUAAGGGUAUAGGGAGAUCAUGAAUGCAAUUGCAUUCCUGAUAGAGCACUCCAUCAGUUGUUUGCAAUGCACGGUAUACUGUGCAUCUAUCGGCACAAAUAGCUCUCAUGUAUCUCAGCUCCCCCUAAUACCCAUUUUUGCAGCAUCGCACCCCCCCCCCCCCCCCCCGAGACAUCUCCCACAAGUAAGAACCCCAAUAGUCACACCAUCAACGAUGCAAAAAACAAUGAAAUCCCGACCCUCCAAAUCACUGCUUCCCCACGUAUGCCACAGCUCUCUCUCACGGCAGUCACCGCUCCUCACUGCUGUCACACAGCCCGUCAGGGACAGUGAUCCCCCUGAGAAGGUCAGGCUUCCUGAUGUGCAAACACGUUCCCCUCAGACUCCCAAAGCACCCCUGCAGAACAGUCGUUGCAUUCCGUAGCAGUUCCAGGAUUAGUCCCAGGUAAGUGCGUCCCGUGCCGUCCCCCGUUGCUCCCGAUCAACGCGCGCUCCCGUUUUAAUAAAUUGCCUCUGGUUUCCAUUGUCUCUGCGGUGAGUGUGGCUCCUGAGUCUGCUCGCUGUCUCCAUAUCAAUCAUUGCUGAAUGGGCUUUGUGCCGGAACAGCUCCGAGCAGAAUCCAAGAGAGAGAGAGAGAGAGAGAGAGAGAGCGAGCGAGGGAACGGCAGGGUAUUUCUGCAUGUUUGCCGGGAGUUUCAUGAGCUCCACCACCACCUAACCCCUCAGUAUUCCCGAGGCCUUAAUGGAAGAGCCGGCUUGGGUUGCCACAUCCCAGGCAAACCUUCCUCCGCUAUUAAUUAUCCGCCAACACGGACGGCUCAACCGCGACGUGUCGCAACGCACCCUCAUUAACUCACCCUGUUCCCGCGUCUCCCCAGGGAGAAACGGGCAUAAGUCAUAAUUAUGGCUUAUAAAAUUCAUCCAGGUGACAUAAUAGGGCCAUCGUUGUGACGUGUGGACGCCACUGAGGCGGCCAAUUAACAUUUCAGCUCAAUCAUGCAAUGCGUCCACCAUCACUGUUUGUUUCUCCUAACGGCGUUCCAUGCUACAUUGCAAUACGGCUGAUACUUCCAGCAAGGAAUCGACAGUGAUUCCAGUGGGCUCGCAGCUAUCAGUGUCUACUGUAGCAGCGGUGUGGUUUUGGUAUGUGGGGCAUCCCGAAUCAGUGUUUGCGUCUUGUUAUGAAAAGCCUGAUACUUGACUCCCAACGGCUAUUUUAUAAUGAGGAUGAGUUGUCGGAUAAUUAGAUGCACUGAGCGCAGGUGCUCUCAGAAAAAUUCUGAUUCAUCCCAAACAGAAAUGUUCUGCCUGCCAACAUAAAAGCGCCGAGCAAAAAAAAAAGAAAAAAGAUUCUCUCUGUCACAUUGCCUCUCGAUUCGGGGCGGCCAUGUUUUAUUUAUUCACCCGUAUCUUUGGGCUCUCUCGGAUGUGGGAGGGCUUCAUGUGGUGCUGUGCCGAGUCCUCUGCUGCCAAACUUCCUCCCCCCCCCCUUGCAUCGUACACUGGUCGUAUACAUGAAGCCGUUAUAAAUAGAUACGAUGUACGUCAUGUCCAACUCUUCAAACUUAAAGCAUGUGAUUACUCUGGUGCUGACUCGAUGCGACUCUUAUUUUGAAGUUCCCCUCAUAAAAGCAUUUGGAUGUAGCGGAUGCCACGUCCAUUGUAGCUAAAGGGAAGGAGAAGCAGUGGGGUUUAUGUGUGUGAUGUGAAUGCAUGCCUGGGGGGGGUGUGGGGGUUCAGUGGCUGCCUCUGCACUUAGUACUCAAACUGAUGCACUGAUAAAGCUGUUGCUGUCUGGGAACUGAAUAAUAGGUUGGAUGCACGUUUAUCUAAUCAACCAUGUCAUGUCACUAAUACUGUACACAACACGUUUUAUCUGAUGAAUGUGAGUCACGGUAGUUGAAGUGUGCACACACGCACACCACAAAGCCACAAAGCAGUGAUAUGCAGUCACUCGGUUGAUUGGCGAGACUAUGUGAAUUGGAGCUUACUCAGCUAUGGUUUAAUGUAGGGUUGCUGGCUCGCUCCUAAGUCAACCGUGUAUUAAGCUGUUGCUAAGAAUAAUUAAGCCAUUUUAAGACAAUAAAAUAAUUCGGGCCUAUUGGAGUUACAGCUGUUGGCUACCAAAUGUGACAGUGGCACCAUUUAACUGAAUACACAUGAGGCGGAUGGAAACAGUUGAUGUGGUUGUGUUGUACACUCAUUUUUGCAUAAGUACAUUUCUUUCCAUUACCUUUUAUUGCGCCUCUUAGUUGCUCGGUGGAAUCAUGAAGUUAGUUAAAAAAAAUAGAGCUGCUUUGGAACAGAAAUGUCGACUGUGUUGCUGUUUUGUUUGGUUGUUUUUGCUUAUAUAAUGAUUUGCGUGUUGUGCUAGUGAGUGGUUUCUUCCUGCCAACCUGCACGACUUCCUUUCCAUAGGCCGGGACGCAAUCCUCUAUCUUAUAUCUGGUCCUCCCACCACAGCCAGAUUAAAAGUGCAUCUAAAAUAGCGCAUUUAUGAUGCAAAUUAAGGCUGACAUUAGCCGGCAUAAAGAAUCCAAUAUAAUAAACAUUUAUUAUGUUUAUUAUAUUACAUAAUAAGCCUAUUUUAGAGAGCCUAUUUCAUAAAUUGUAGUUGCAAAAGGACUUUUUUUUGGGACAAACAAAGAACGAGUUAUGGAGAUAUCAAAUUCUUCUGGUAAUGUCAUUAUGGUUUCUCUGUAUACACGGGGAUAUGUGGUUUCCCAUUGCAAUCAGAGCUUGGAAGUUUAGUAAGUUCUUUCAGCUCAAGCGCUGCCAAAAUAUCUCAAAAUCAAGCAAAGCCGAAACCGAGUCAGACAUCCGACAACAUCGGACGAAAUCAGGAUUGAUGGUGUUUUGUACUUUGCGGGCCAAAGCGAUUGCUUUGGCCAAUGCGAUUGCAUUGGCCAAUGCGCUGCACCUCACUUCUGUUUAUGCUCUUCUGCCAUCCAUACCUCCAGCCCGGGCUCAGCCAAGCGUGAGUCCACACGUUCACUUCAGG
Molecule: long non-coding RNA, 5523 nt
Filed under: Gadus morhua (Atlantic cod)
Lineage: Eukaryota; Metazoa; Chordata; Actinopteri; Gadiformes; Gadidae
Description: lncRNA (ENSGMOG00000025177.1)
Source: RNAcentral